GAGAUCGUGUUGCAUAAAGGAAACCAACUCAAUCAUUUUUCCAUUGUUAGAGAUGUGUAACCUUCAAAAGAUCAACCUAUAUCAGAAAUCACUUGAUCUGUACAUUUGAUAGAUAAGAAAGAAAAUUACUUAUAAAAGAUAGAAAAAAAAGGAAAAUAUGACAAUUUUCCAGCAGUACGUAUUUUUUUACCCUUUGUAUUUUGUUUAUACAAUCAUAAAGUGAUUAUGAACCAUAGAUUUCUAUUAAAUAAUGUAAGCUAAAUUUUUCAAUUAAGUACAUCCUGAAUUAUAAAAAUCAAUCAAACAUGUAAUGAGUAACAAACCUUGACAUUAAUUAGUUUAGAAAGAUAUGUAUUGAACAUCAAAAUUAAUUAAAUAUAUAGUUAUAUCCUGAAGAACAUAAAAUGUCGUCUUUUAUAUUCUGAUAAUUAAACAAUUAACAUAAGUCAUAUAGAUUAAAAAAUGUGCUAAAAUACUAAUUAUAAGUAGAAAAUGAAAAGGAAAAAAAGAAAAAGAAUAAUUACAAGAAAAUGAAAAAGAAAAAAGAAAAAAGAAUAAUUACAAGAAAAUGAAAAUUAGACCGUAUGCUAUUAAGGAAACCAACUCAAUCAUUUAUCCAGUGUUACAUUAGCAUCCCCUUUAUUAUUGUUAUAUCCUCAUAAUCCUAACAACCAUCUCAAUCUCAUCAAAAAAAUACGGAAAACCCUAUCAUAAUCAUUGGUGACGCAAGAAUAA
This 735-nucleotide long non-coding RNA is filed under the name Lathyrus oleraceus (garden pea). RNAcentral describes it as "Pisum sativum (pea) long non-coding RNA (PSAT_LNC040565)". The record is from RNAcentral. Lineage: Eukaryota; Viridiplantae; Streptophyta; Magnoliopsida; Fabales; Fabaceae.